This 486-nucleotide ribosomal RNA is filed under the name uncultured bacterium. RNAcentral describes it as "bacterial SSU rRNA". It matches the Rfam family "Bacterial small subunit ribosomal RNA", at positions 501 to 987 of the family's 1533-position model. The record is from RNAcentral.
CUACGUGCCAGCAGCCGCGGUAAUACGUAGGUCCCGAGCGUUGUCCGGAUUUAUUGGGCGUAAAGCGAGCGCAGGCGGUUAGAUAAGUCUGAAGUUAAAGGCUGUGGCUUAACCAUAGUACGCUUUGGAAACUGUUUAACUUGAGUGCAAGAGGGGAGAGUGGAAUUCCAUGUGUAGCGGUGAAAUGCGUAGAUAUAUGGAGGAACACCGGUGGCGAAAGCGGCUCUCUGGCUUGUAACUGACGCUGAGGCUCGAAAGCGUGGGGAGCAAACAGGAUUAGAUACCCUGGUAGUCCACGCCCUGAACGAUGUCGAUUAGCUGUUGGGCAGCAUGACUGCUUAGUAGCGAAGCUAACGCGUGAAAUCGACCGCCUGGGGAGUACGGUCGCAAGAUUAAAACUCAAAGGAAUUGACGGGGACCCGCACAAGCGGUGGAUGAUGUGGAUUAAUUCGAUGCAACGCGAAGAACCUUACCUGGUCUUGACAU